This 1095-nucleotide long non-coding RNA is filed under the name Equus caballus (horse). RNAcentral describes it as "lncRNA (ENSECAG00000046283.1)". The record is from RNAcentral. Lineage: Eukaryota; Metazoa; Chordata; Mammalia; Perissodactyla; Equidae.
CCUCCUUCUGUUGUGAGGCAUCUGGGGAAAUUGCCUCACAGCCCAUGGGUCUGUGCAAGGGUGUAAUCCUGGAUGCCGAUGACAUAGAGCAGCUGUUUGCAUGCAGCCUCACACCUGUAGCAGAAGACUUAGGGAAGAACACGAUGGGAAGAACACAGAACACAGAGUAUCAAGGCCAGCUGGUCAGGAGGAUAAUCACACCUACGUCAUAGCACUGGUGUUCUGGGAAGAUGAGAUCAUGCAGGUAAAGCCUUUGACACUGAUUGUUGCAUGGCCAGCACUCACUAAAUGGUGGCAAUUAUUGUUCAUAGAGUCAUUUGUGCAUUUGUCUCAUAUCCCUGCUAACUCUGUAUCCUUCAGGACACAAACUGCCCUAUUCAUCACCGUCUCCUUGGAGAUGUCUCAAACAGGGCCUGGAUAGCCAAGCUUUGCUCUUUGGCGUCUUCUUGGCUGGAGCCCUUCCCUUCCAGGUCUGCACUUCUGCACUACAACACUAGAGGACAGCAAGAGACUACAGACCCUUUGGAAGACUGGCAGGCUAUCUUGGAUGCUCUUCCUCUAGACUAACCUGUACCUGUGGAUCCCGCCCACUAUGUUGGUGCAAGCAUAAUGUGGAAGCGCGAGGGACUUAACAGCCCCUGGACAACUGCUGAGGAUUAGAAGACAUGAGGCCAUGGAGAGAUGACGUCCUUUCAGUGUCAGAGAAAACAGGUUCUAAUGGUGGGAUUCUGAAGACAGCUUGCUCACUGACCAGAAGAAAACAAGAACCCCUUCACUGGUGGACUGAAGGUCUGAAUUGACCUACAAGAUCUGCUUCCCAGAGCAAGAAAAUAUUCUCCAGCAGACAGCCAUGGAAUUCAUCUGAACAUCAGCUCUCCUGGCUCUCCAUCUGCUUUCCUUCAGACUGGAACUGCACCAUCGGUUUCCCUAGGUCUCAAGCCUGCUGGCCCACACUGUAGAUUUGGACUUUAAAGUCUCCACAAGCACUUGAACCAAUUCAGUAUAAUUCUCUUUUUGUAUAAGUGAUUCUGUUUCUCUGGAGAAUCCAACUAAUAGAAGGAUAGUAGAGUCCCACAAACUUAACCAAGAGGUAAC